CCCAAGAGAUCGGGAUAACACCUGGAAACAGAUGCUAAUACCGGAUAACAACAGAUGAUGCCUAUCAACUGUUUAAAAGAUGGUUCUGCUAUCACUCUUGGAUGGACCUGCGGUGCAUUAGCUAGUUGGUAGGGUAACGGCCUGCCAAGGCGAUGAUGCAUAGCCGAGUUGAGAGACUGAUCGGCCACAUUGGGACUGAGACACGGCCCAAACUCCUACGGGAGGCAGCAGCU
RNAcentral lists this ribosomal RNA (233 nucleotides) under uncultured Lactobacillus sp. RNAcentral's name for it is "partial 16S ribosomal RNA". It matches the Rfam family "Bacterial small subunit ribosomal RNA", at positions 129 to 355 of the family's 1533-position model. The record is from RNAcentral. Lineage: Bacteria; Bacillati; Bacillota; Bacilli; Lactobacillales; Lactobacillaceae.